Molecule: microRNA, 21 nt
Filed under: Paeonia lactiflora (Chinese peony)
Lineage: Eukaryota; Viridiplantae; Streptophyta; Magnoliopsida; Saxifragales; Paeoniaceae
Description: pla-miR11601
Source: miRBase by way of RNAcentral
UGCUCUAAAAGAUCGUAGUUC